RNAcentral lists this long non-coding RNA (3051 nucleotides) under Triticum aestivum (bread wheat). RNAcentral's name for it is "long non-coding RNA (TAES_LNC017078)". Lineage: Eukaryota; Viridiplantae; Streptophyta; Magnoliopsida; Poales; Poaceae. The record is from RNAcentral.
UUAUUCAUGGACUCUUCACCACUGUACCGUACGUGAAGGGCCUCGUCCAUGAUCCACCUAACUCUUUGUGAAGCAACUAAGCAACCAAUGACCUAUCUGCAGUUCUGCGUUGCGCUACACAAAAAAGGAACCCAUGUGUACAUCCAUCUUAGCUAGUUGACCUUUGUUAAUUCCGGCAUGUGUCUGCCUUGGAAGCUUCUACAUGGUGGCUGGCUCCAUCGCCACAAGUUGUAGCUACCUUGCCAGCAGUACUGCAUGCAAUGCAUCCAUCUAUCCGAUGUGACCACCAGUGUAAGCUCUUUGGCGCAUACAUAGUACAAUGCACAAGUGGCACCAACACCGUGUUCAACAUAGGCCGCAAUGAAACGGAGUGAUGGCCAAAGAACGGAAGAACCUAUGCAAGAAAGGAGUCAGCUGACAGAGUUAGGCUUCCACAUACCAGAAAAUCAUGUUGUUGAACUUCAGCAAUGCACCCAACAUUUUUCAUGAACAACCACCAAAACAAUAUGGAAAGGCUAGUCUGCAAGUUUGCAAGAGAACAUAUUGGCUUAUACAGCACUAGUACGAGAAUAAUCUUGCGCCCCGUUUGGCAGCUCUCCGCUCCGCAGCUCCGUGCCGGAGCGGAGCGGGCCGCAGCCUGCUUUCUCGGAGUGGCCGAAGGGUCGCUCCGUGCACUCCAUGGAGUUGGAUGACUGCCGAAUAGGGCUUUGGUUUCAUCUAAAUUUGUCUGCGUUUAUGCAUAUGACUGCAGUAGCUGAUAGCUCGACUAUCAUGACAGCCUUCUAUGAGGAGAAGCAGCAGUAAUAACUAUUUUUAGUGUAGGCCUUAAGUAUGGCAUAAAAAGGGGAUCACACACCAAACCUGCGAAGGGAAGCAACAACAAUCUCUCCAGGUAAUAGGCUGAAACCUCUCGCCAGCCUUUUGAGUUAGCUGAUGAGCUUGUAGAAUAUCCAUUACUCUUCACAACUCAAAAUAACAGUGUUACAGCUGCCACUUUCUCAGACAUUUUGGUGGUUACCUUCUUAACCCUGCCAGAAACCACACGCGGUCACUCAUUCAGAGUUUGAGACCAACAACAAAACUAAUAUCCGAUCGAGAUUAUCUGUGUACUGUGUAAUUAAGCUCAAGGAAAAUAAAAUUCAAUAUUCCCAUCAUAACAACUAAUCACGCAAUAAGACAUCAGGAUUAGUUGGACCAAUCAGCACAAGCUACAUAAAACAUGCGGUGCUAUGUGCCUCGAGUUCGCUGAUGAACAAUGUGACAUCACUCACAAGGCACAUGGGUUAGACUCCUUACUCAUCUGAAUGUAUCUUUAUGCUCAAAUGAUAUACGAUAUAUUUAGCACCUCGAGAUUAUAUCAACAUAACGUACUUAGCAGUAAAGCAAGCUUAAAAAUGUCAAUCCUGUCGUCACAAAUAAACAAUAAAUACACUCCCCAGUCUAAACCUUAAAAAAAUGCAGAUAUUCACAAUCACGGGGCAUUUGACGCGACCACUCAGGAUUAUUCCUAAAGAUCAAACUAAGGCAUCAAGCCAUAGUUACGAUUCAGCAGGGCAAGACCAAAAGCUACAUAGCACCAGGGAUAGCAAAAAACAGGGCCGGGCCGAGGGGUAUCCAGCCUGUGCGGACGGCACAGGGCCCCAACUUUCUAGGGGCCCCGAAUUUUUCCAAAGCCUGUGGUCAGUUCAGCGCAUCCGCACAAAUAGGCCUACACCAUCAGGGCCCCUGGAUUCUAAACAUAGGCCUGCUCAGCGGAUGCCCAGGGACCAGAGGGACACCUGUUUAAUUGAUUCGUCUAAACUGGUACUACCGUGCUCACUCCUGAUUAAUCUUUUUCCUGUCACUUAUGAUGACAACUUUCAAUCAAGAAUAGUAAAGUACUCCCUCCGUCCGGGUUUAUUAGGCCUCUUAGCAUCACAAGCAUGUCCCUUUUUAUAAGGCCUCGCUUUGGAAAGGUGCAUGCGUGCAACCAUUUCAUUGGUUGCAUUGAAAGCCAUUGUUGUUGGUGCCAUGAAUGGGAAAUUAAUACACUUCAUGCGUGCUUUUUCAUUGGCUGCAUGCAUGUGAGAGAGUGCAUUGAGAGUGGAAUUGAAGAAUUAAUGUGAGCAAAUUAUUAUGUGUCUUGGUCUAAGAGAAGUUGUCUUUAGGCCUAAUAAACCCGGACGGAGGGAGUAGUAAACCAAAUAUAAAUUGGGAGAUUAAGCUACAUGGUUUUAGUUCUUGUGAUUAAGUUUUAUGGAUUUCUUUGGUGAUUUUUUCAAAGAAGAUUUUGCACUUAGAUUAAUUAGGGCCCGUAUUAUAGUUUGGCACAGUGGUGAAGUCCUCCCCACUUGUGCCAAGAGGUCCUGGGUUCGAACCAGCCUCUCUGCAUUGCACUUUGCAGGGGUAAGACUAGGUUCCUAUAAUCCCUCCCCAGACCCCACCUUGUGUGGGAGCUUCUAUGCACUGGGUCUGUCAUUAUAGUUUGGCACAGGGUUCCUAGUUUUGCCGGCCCGGCCCUGGCAAACAACAGAACUAGUAAAAGGCAUGUAAGUACCUCCAUGAUUAGAUGAAUAAUUUAAAGAGAUUGUCCCUACCUGUCAUAAGAUUUGUAACUCAACUGAAAUACUCUUAAAGAACAAUGAGAUACUCAUGUUGGACACCAUACCAGAGUAUGAAUUAUGAAGUGCCAAAAGCCAGAGACAAUCCAGUUCCUUACAGUCCACAACUUUAACCUUUUGGGUUCUGUAAGAUGAGUUGCAUAUCUUCUAAAAAGAAUUCAAAUGAUCUGUUGGAUUAGGUCAGACUCAUAAUGUGCAAAUGUGAUAAGUCCAGGCCUAUGGAGACUAUGGUCAACAAAAUCUUGCCACUGACUCCCUUUGGAAGAAUAUCAAGAUUGGUUUGCGCUCUAACAUUUUGACAUCGCCCUUUGACUUUCUUGUGGAAAAAUGUUGUUUUCCUUCUGAAAAAUGUUGCUGCUGACAGAUUUGAAAACUGAGAAAUUCUCUUCGGAGAAAAGUUGUUUUCCUUCUGUAUCAUAAAGUUGACAAUCACUUUGAUUUCAGCCUUGAA